GUCAGAGGUUUGCCUACAACCUGUAGUUUGUCAGAGGUUUACCUAGAACCUGUACUUUGUCAGAGGUUUGCCAAGAACCUGUAGUUUGUCAGAGGUUUGCGUAGAACCCGUAGUUUGUCAGAGGUUUACCUACAACCUGUAGUUUGUCAGAGGUUUACCUACAACCUGUAGUUUGUCAGAGGUUUACCUAGAACCUGUACUUUGUCAGAGGUUUACGUAGAACCUGCAGUUUGUCAGAGGUUUACCUAGAACCUGUAGUUUGUCAGAGGUUUACCUACAACCUGUACUUUGUCAGAGGUUUACGUAGAACCUGCAGUUUGUCAGAGGUUUACCUAGAACCUGUAGUUUGUCAGAGGUUUACCUAGAACCUGUAGUUUGUCAGAGGUUUACCUAGAACCUGUACUUUGUCAGAGGUUUGCCUUGAACCUGUAGUUUGUCAGAGGUUUACCUAGAACCUGUACUUUGUCAGAGGUUUGCCUACAACCUGUAGUUUGUCAGAGGUUUACCUAUAACCUGUACUUUGUCAGAGGUUUGCCAAGAACCUGUACUUUGUCAGAGGUUUGCGUAGAACCCGUAGUUUGUCAGAGGUUUACCUACAACCUGUAGUUUGUCAGAGGUUUACCUAGAACCUGUACUUUGUCAGAGGUUUACGUAGAACCUGCAGUUUGUCAGAGGUUUACCUAGAACCUGUAGUUUGUCAGAGGUUUACCUACAACCUGUAGUUUGUCAGAGGUUUACCUAGAACCUGCAGUUUGUCAGAGGUUUACCGAGAACCUGUAGUUUGUCAGAGGUUUACCUAGAACCUGUAGUUUGUCAGAGGUUUACCUAGAACCUGUACUUUGUCAGAGGUUUGCCUAGAACCUGUAGUUUGUCAGAGGUUUGCCUACAACCUGUACUUUGUCAGAGGUUUACCUAGAACCUGUAGUUUGUCAGAGGUUUACCUAGAACCUGUAGUUUGUCAGAGGUUUACCUAGAACCUGUACUUUGUCAGAGGUUUGCCUAGAACCUGUAGUUUGUCAGAGGUUUACCUACAACCUGUAGUUUGUCAGAGGUUUACCUAUAACCUGUAGUUUGUCAGAGGUUUACGUAGAACCUGCAGUUUGUCAGAGGUUUACCUACAACCUGUAGUUUGUCAGAGGUUUACCUACAACCUGUAGUUUGUCAGAGGUUUACCUAGAACCUGUAGUUUGUCAGAGGUUUACCUAUAACCUGUAGUUUGUCAGAGGUUUACCUACAACCUGUAGUUUGUCAGAGGUUUACCUAUAACCUGUAGUUUGUCAGAGGUUUACCUAGAACCCGUAGUUUGUCAGAGGUUUGCCUAGAACCUGCAGUUUGUCAGAGGUUUGCCUAGAACCUGUACUUUGUCAGAGGUUUACGUAGAACCUGUAGUUUGUCAGAGGUUUGCCUACAACCUGCAGUUUGUCAGAGGUUUACCUACAACCCGUAGUUUGUCAGAGGUUUACCUACAACCCGUAGUUUGUCAGAGGUUUACCUAGAACCUGUAGUUUGUCAGAGGUUUACCUACAACCUGCAGUUUGUCAGAGGUUUACCUAGAACCUGCAGUUUGUCAGAGGUUUACGUAGAACCUGCAGUUUGUCAGAGGUUUACCUACAACCUGUAGUUUGUCAGAGGUUUACCUAGAACCUGCAGUUUGUCAGAGGUUUACCUAGAACCUGCAGUUUGUCAGAGGUUUACCUACAACCUGUAGUUUGUCAGAGGUUUACCUAGAACCCGUAGUUUGUCAGAGGUUUACCUAGAACCUGCAGUUUGUCAGAGGUUUACCUAGAACCUGCAGUUUGUCAGAGGUUUACCUACAACCUGUAGUUUGUCAGAGGUUUACCUAGAACCUGCAGUUUGUCAGAGGUUUACCUACAACCUGUAGUUUGUCAGAGGUUUACCUAGAACCUGCAGUUUGUCAGAGGUUUACCUACAACCUGUAGUUUGUCAGAGGUUUACCUAGAACCUGUAGUUUGUCAGAGGUUUACCUAGAACCUGCAGUUUGUCAGAGGUUUACCUAGAACCUGCAGUUUGUCAGAGGUUUACCUACAACCUGUAGUUUGUCAGAGGUUUACCUACAACCUGUAGUUUGUCAGAGGUUUACGUAGAACCUGCAGUUUGUCAGAGGUUUACCUACAACCUGCAGUUUGUCAGAGGUUUACCUAGAACCUGUAGUUUGUCAGAGGUUUACCUACAACCUGUAGUUUGUCAGAGGUUUACCUAGAACCUGCAGUUUGUCAGAGGUUUACCUAGAACCUGCAGUUUGUCAGAGGUUUACCUACAACCUGUAGUUUGUCAGAGGUUUACCUACAACCUGUAGUUUGUCAGAGGUUUACCUAGAACCCGUAGUUUGUCAGAGGUUUGCCUAGAACCUGCAGUUUGUCAGAGGUUUACGUAGAACCUGUAGUUUGUCAGAGGUUUACCUACAACCUGUAGUUUGUCAGAGGUUUACCUAGAACCCGUAGUUUGUCAGAGGUUUGCCUAGAACCUGUAGUUUGUCAGAGGUUUACCCAGAACCUGUACUUUGUCAGAGGUUUACGUAGAACCUGUAGUUUGUCAGAGGUUUGCCUACAACCUGCAGUUUGUCAGAGGUUUACCUACAACCUGCAGUUUGUCAGAGGUUUACCUAGAACCUACAGUUUGUCAGAGGUUUGCCUAGAACCUGUAGUUUGUCAGAGGUUUGCCUAUAACCUGUAGUUUGUCAGAGGUUUACCUACAACCUGUAGUUUGUCAGAGGUUUGCCUAUAACCUGUAGUUUGUCAGAGGUUUACCUACAACCUGUAGUUUGUCAGAGGUUUGCCUAUAACCUGUAGUUUGUCAGAGGUUUACCUACAACCUGUAGUUUGUCAGA
Molecule: long non-coding RNA, 2848 nt
Organism: Acanthochromis polyacanthus (spiny chromis)
Lineage: Eukaryota; Metazoa; Chordata; Actinopteri; Pomacentridae
Exons: 19
Source: RefSeq, a predicted model, not a curated record